Molecule: ribosomal RNA, 496 nt
Filed under: uncultured bacterium
Lineage: Bacteria
Description: partial 16S ribosomal RNA
Rfam family: Bacterial small subunit ribosomal RNA
Source: RNAcentral
GAUGAACGCUGGCGGCGUGCCUAAUACAUGCAAGUCGAGCGAACAGACGAGGAGCUUGCUCCUCUGACGUUAGCGGCGGACGGGUGAGUAACACGUGGAUAACCUACCUAUAAGACUGGGAUAACUUCGGGAAACCGGAGCUAAUACCGGAUAAUAUAUUGAACCGCAUGGUUCAAUAGUGAAAGACGGUUUUGCUGUCACUUAUAGAUGGAUCCGCGCCGCAUUAGCUAGUUGGUAAGGUAACGGCUUACCAAGGCAACGAUGCGUAGCCGACCUGAGAGGGUGAUCGGCCACACGGGAACUGAGACACGGUCCAGACUCCUACGGGAGGCAGGAGUAGGGAAUCUUCCGCAAUGGGCGAAAGCCUGACGGAGCAACGCCGCGUGAGUGAUGAAGGUCUUCGGAUCGUAAAACUCUGUUAUUAGGGAAGAACAAAUGUGUAAGUAACUAUGCACGUCUUGACGGUACCUAAUCAGAAAGCCACGGCUAACUACGU